GGCUCAGGAUGAACGCUAGCGACAGGCCUAACACAUGCAAGCGAGGGGCAGCACAAGGAGCAAUCUGAGGUGGCGACCGGCGCACGGGUGAGUAACACGUAUGCAACCUGCCUGUAAGCGGGGAAUAACCCGUUGAAAGACGGACUAAUACCGCAUAAUACUAAAUUACUGCAUGGUAAUUUAUUUAAACAUUUAUGGCUUACAGAUGGGCAUGCGCAUGAUUAGCUAGUUGGAGAGGUAACGGCUCCCCAAGGCAACGAUCAUUAGGGGUUCUGAGAGGAAGGUCCCCCACACUGGUACUGAGACACGGACCAGACUCCUACGGGAGGCAGCAGUGAGGAAUAUUGGUCAAUGGACGAGAGUCUGAACCAGCCAAGUCGCGUGCAGGAAGAAUUGUCCUAUGGAUUGUAAACUGCUUUUGCAGGGGAAUAAAGUGCAUCACGUGUGAUGUUUUGUAUGUACUCUGCGAAUAAGGAUCGGCUAACUCCGUGCCAGCCGCGGC
This 502-nucleotide ribosomal RNA is filed under the name uncultured bacterium. RNAcentral's name for it is "bacterial SSU rRNA". It matches the Rfam family "Bacterial small subunit ribosomal RNA", at positions 21 to 518 of the family's 1533-position model. The record is from RNAcentral.